This 610-nucleotide ribosomal RNA is filed under the name uncultured bacterium. RNAcentral's name for it is "bacterial SSU rRNA". It matches the Rfam family "Bacterial small subunit ribosomal RNA", at positions 71 to 676 of the family's 1533-position model. The record is from RNAcentral.
AGCGCGGGCUUCGGCCUGGCGGCGAGUGGCGGACGGGUGAGUAAUGCUUGGGAAUCUGCCCAGUAGUGGGGGACAACCCGGGGAAACCCGGGCUAAUACCGCAUACGUCCUACGGGAGAAAGCGGGGGAUCUUCGGACCUCGCGCUAUUGGAUGAGCCCAAGUCGGAUUAGCUAGUUGGUAGGGUAACGGCCUACCAAGGCGACGAUCCGUAGCUGGUCUGAGAGGACGAUCAGCCACACCGGAACUGAGACACGGUCCGGACUCCUACGGGAGGCAGCAGUGGGGAAUAUUGGACAAUGGGCGCAAGCCUGAUCCAGCAAUGCCGCGUGUGUGAAGAAGGCCUGCGGGUUGUAAAGCACUUUCAGCAGGGAAGAACAGCGUGGGGCUAAUAUCCCCGCGUCCUGACGUCACCUGCAGAAGAAGCACCGGCUAACUCCGUGCCAGCAGCCGCGGUAAUACGGAGGGUGCGAGCGUUAAUCGGAAUUACUGGGCGUAAAGCGCACGUAGGCGGCUUGGUAAGUCGAAUGUGAAAGCCCCGGGCUUAACCUGGGAACUGCAUCCGAAACUGCCUGGCUGGAGUAAGGGAGAGGGAAGCGGAAUUUCCGGUGU